Molecule: long non-coding RNA, 529 nt
Organism: Silurus meridionalis
Lineage: Eukaryota; Metazoa; Chordata; Actinopteri; Siluriformes; Siluridae
Exons: 2
Source: RefSeq, a predicted model, not a curated record
UUCACGUGUCACGUGGGUUCGCCGUGAAGAAAUAGCGGAAUAAUUGAGACGCGCACGCUGUAAACAAGCGCAGAUCUGAUGGACAUGGACUUACCGUCUCCGUUUUCCUCUUCAGCUCUGUCUGGGAUUGAAUCCUGAUCAAGGUCUCCAUCUCGCAGACGUUCUGGGACAGCUCUUAUGAUCGUUCUCCGCAGACUCUCGCCACUGAGGUCGCUCGAUUUAUUGAACACCUCUCUACCCCAACUAUUCCAGAGAGCCCCUGUCUGCCUCCUCGCAUCAUUUUACACAAACCUAUAAUGAAGACUUUGAUGACGAAUCCCGCAUUCCAUUGCAACAAACCAACCAUCUUCACCUUACCCUUUAUGUUGGUCAUCUACUAAUUAUUCUCCUACUUCUCCGGUUCUGUCACCUGUUUAUUAUCCUCCUAUAACUUCAUCUAAAUCUGACUCUGAUCGCUCAUCCAUGUGUUCUGCAGCGGCUGAGGCCCACAAGCUCUUUCUUCCCUAUAAACAUGCUUAAGUCUGCCUUA